UCAGUCUUUUUACCUGGCCGUGUGGUUAGUGAUUGGUACUAUUAGCAAUCAGCUAACUACACUGCCUAGUAACUAGACUC
Molecule: microRNA precursor, 80 nt
Filed under: Cricetulus griseus (Chinese hamster)
Lineage: Eukaryota; Metazoa; Chordata; Mammalia; Rodentia; Cricetidae
Description: mir-34
Source: RNAcentral